UACAGAGGUCCCAAGCGUUGUUCGGAUUCACUGGGCGUAAAGGGUGCGUAGGCGGUCGGGUAAGUCUGAUGUGAAAUCUCACAGCUUAACUGUGAAACUGCAUUGGAUACUAUUCGGCUUGAGAGUUGGAGGGGGGACUGGAAUUCUUGGUGUAGCAGUGAAAUGCGUAGAUAUCAAGAGGAACACCAGUGGCGAAGGCGAGUCUCUGGACGACUCCUGACACUGAGGCACGAAAGCUAGGGGAGCAAACAGG
This 253-nucleotide ribosomal RNA is filed under the name uncultured bacterium. RNAcentral describes it as "partial 16S ribosomal RNA". It matches the Rfam family "Bacterial small subunit ribosomal RNA", at positions 524 to 776 of the family's 1533-position model. The record is from RNAcentral.